This 1240-nucleotide long non-coding RNA is filed under the name Felis catus (domestic cat). RNAcentral's name for it is "lncRNA (ENSFCAG00000044244.2)". Lineage: Eukaryota; Metazoa; Chordata; Mammalia; Carnivora; Felidae. The record is from RNAcentral.
GGGGGGGGAGCGCGUUCAAAGAUUUAAAGCAUUUUAGAUCAAUUAUUUAAACUAUUGUAUACAGUCUUAAACGAGUUGAGGCAGAAGAGACUAGUUACAAGUAAAGCAGGAGGACUUCUAAGAGCUUGGAUUAGGGUAAUGGUCAUAAGAAUGGAAAAAAAAAAAAACCAACCAGAUACAUUAACAAAAAAAAACCUCUUCGAAAUGUUAAGUUCACGUAAUCUGGUGAUAAGUCGGAUGUGUGUGAGGAUGGGUAGAAGUGGAGAACUGAAAGGUGACUAGUUCCUGUGACUGGUGCAGUGGGGUACCAGUAACAGAAGUAGGAAAUAAAAACAGAACACGUUUGGGGGUGGGUGGGUUCAGUUUUGAGCAGGUUGUCUGAGGCGCCCAUCUCACAUUCAGGUUGGUAAGUCCAGGCUGAACCUUCAAAGACAGUCUGGGACUCUAAAGAUUGAUAGGGAUUGGGAUGGAGGUAAUCAUUCCGUCAGUGGCGGCUGAAUCCAUGACACUGGAGAAGGUGACCCGGGGACAGCGAGGAGAAGCAUGAUGAAAUUUGCUUCGUCCAAGUUUUCCAAAUGGAUGUCUGGUGCCAGAAGAGAACAAAGUCACGACGGACUCAAGCUAUUCGCGUCCAGAUCGGGGAGACCGUCAUAGCACGCUCCCUGCUCAGGGGCUCGGGAAAUUGGUCUAGGAAAAUGGGCCCUUCACAGAAUUCCAGCUGUAAAUAGCACUCGUCAUCACCCCCAUCACCGCAGCUGGUAAUGAAGAGAAAUGUGUCGGGUAAUGAGGAGAGUGGCCGCCAUGAUAGUAAUGAAGAAAAAUGGACAGAAAGGCUGCGGGAAGGGGACCUCCGCUAUUUCCUGGUAUAAUCGGCGUGAGCACCACACCAUCACCAGAAUGAUCUGUCUGAAACGCGAAUUUGAUCACAUGAUUCUCCUGCUACAAAAUGGGUUUCUCGGCCAUGGCUUCUAAGUCCUACGCCGGCUUUCGAGAUCCUCCAUAACCUGCCUCCAGCCUGCCUUUCCUCCCUGGUUUCUGCGACUCUCCCUCUCAGCUCGAUACUCACCCGGCACUGAAAUGGGGACACUCCGUGCACCUUGGUGUCCUUUACCCGCCGUCCUCCUUGCCUGGAAUUCUCUCUCCCCUCCAGUCCCGCCUGUGGUAUUUACCAUUCUGCAAGAGCUAGAUUUUCGCCUCAGAAGCCUUCUCCGGCCUCCCAAACAGAGGUGAGUUCUUUCCC